AACUUAUGAUGUGGAACUAUACGGACAUAGUCAUUGAAACACUCAUAGGCUUCAGCAAUGUUCUUAGUAGAAUACUGAGAAAAAGUAGCUAUCUUGCUUCUCAGGUU
Molecule: small nucleolar RNA, 107 nt
Filed under: Setaria italica (foxtail millet)
Lineage: Eukaryota; Viridiplantae; Streptophyta; Magnoliopsida; Poales; Poaceae
Also listed under: 1 other name
Description: Plant small nucleolar RNA R71
Rfam family: Plant small nucleolar RNA R71
About the family: R71 is a member of the C/D box family of snoRNAs containing the C (UGAUGA) and D (CUGA) box motifs. Multiple nearly identical copies of this snoRNA have been identified in Arabidopsis, and it is thought to function as a 2'-O-ribose methylation guide for 18S ribosomal RNA.
Source: Rfam by way of RNAcentral